Molecule: ribosomal RNA, 422 nt
Filed under: uncultured bacterium
Lineage: Bacteria
Description: bacterial SSU rRNA
Rfam family: Bacterial small subunit ribosomal RNA
Source: RNAcentral
UAGGGAAUAUUGGGCAAUGGACGGAAGUCUGACCCAGCCAUGCCGCGUGCAGGAAGAAGGCGCUCAGCGUUGUAAACUGCUUUUAUCGGGGAAGAACGGCAGUCCUGCGGGAUUGUGUGACGGUACUCGAGGAAUAAGCACCGGCUAACUCCGUGCCAGCAGCCGCGGUAAUACGGAGGGUGCGAGCGUUGUCCGGAUUUAUUGGGUUUAAAGGGUGCGUAGGUGGUUGAGUAAGUCUGGUUUGAAAGUCAGUCGCUUAACGAUUGAGGGUGGCUGGAUACUGCUGAGCUUGAAUGCCAUGGAGGUAGGUGGAACGGGUUGUGUAGCGGUGAAAUGCAUAGAUAUGCGGAGGAACACCGAUGGCGAAGGCAAUCCCCUGGACCUGUACUGACGCUCAUGCACGAAAGCGUGGGGAGCAAACA